GACGAACGCUGGCGGCGUGCCUAAUACAUGCAAGUCGAACGCUGAAGAGAGGAGCUUACUCUUCUUGGAUGAGUUGCGAACGGGUGAGUAACGCGUAGGUAACCUGCCUUGUAGCGGGGGAUAACUAUUGGAAACGAUAGCUAAUACCGCAUAACAAUGGAUGACACAUGUCAUUUAUUUGAAAGGGGCAAUUGCUCCACUACAAGAUGGACCUGCGUUGUAUUAGCUAGUAGGUGAGGUAAUGGCUCACCUAGGCGACGAUACAUAGCCAACCUGAGAGGGUGAUCGGCCACACUGGGACUGAGACACGGCCCAGACUCCUACGGGAGGCAGCAGUAGGGAAUCUUCGGCAAUGGGGGCAACCCUGACCGAGCAACGCCGCGUGAGUGAAGAAGGUUUUCGGAUCGUAAAGUUCUGUUGUAAGUCAAGAACGGGUGUGAGAGUGGAAAGUUCACACUGUGACGGUAGCUUACCAGAAAGGGACGGCUAACUACGUG
RNAcentral lists this ribosomal RNA (497 nucleotides) under uncultured bacterium. RNAcentral's name for it is "partial 16S ribosomal RNA". It matches the Rfam family "Bacterial small subunit ribosomal RNA", at positions 28 to 507 of the family's 1533-position model. The record is from RNAcentral.